Molecule: non-coding RNA, 1060 nt
Organism: Tetranychus urticae (two-spotted spider mite)
Lineage: Eukaryota; Metazoa; Arthropoda; Arachnida; Trombidiformes; Tetranychidae
Source: RefSeq, a predicted model, not a curated record
GGAAGAAAAAUUUUUGUCGCUUAGAUUUCAUUAUUUACACAUAAAAUGCAUUAGGCUCGACACGAGAUCUGUUUUGUGGACAUCGAAUGGACUUAAAAUCAGAACAAAGUUGUUAAUAAAAAGAGACAGUACUUGCAUAUUGUAUUAAUACUUGCUAUUUGUGAAAAUUUCAAAGGUUACCAUCAAUUGACAUUUGCUUAUUGAUCUUGACUGAUUUGUGAUAAAACUACAUGUGCACCAAGUGUAAAGUACGAUCUCCGUACGAAUUAUCUCCGACAGAUCAGUUAAUUUCAGAUAAAAUCUUAGUGAUAUGAUUAGAUUUGAUAUGUUUUCAUUAUUGCUGGUAAGAUAGUGCGUGAAACAAUGGAAUUAUAAAUUAAAAUGAACAAUUCCGAUGAAUUUUGUAAUCGAAGUCUCACCUUUCUGAUUUUUUGAUGAAAGCUCGUGAUUUUUGGUGAUUUGGUUAAUUCAAAACAAAAUGACAUUUAAACUCAUUGUUGUUAGUGUUUAUCACAAUUUUAUUCAAUGUUUAAUCACAGACUAGUCCAUCAUAUAAAAGCAAAAGCUAGCGUCACUAAGAAUCAUUAGUUUAAUAAUUAAUUAUUGUUAACCCAACAACUACCAAUCAAAAUGAUUCGAGCUGCUAUAUUCAUUGCUUUAUUUGCAUUGGCCGCUUCUGCCAGCCUUUCCCUUGACUCCCAAUGGGAAUCAUUCAAGACUAAAUACGGCAAAUCUUAUGAUUCGGCUGAAGAAGAAACCUACAGACGAAAUGUUUUUGCCCAGAAACUGGAAAAGAUCAAGGCUCAAGAAUUUAUCAAAUAAUUCAAAUAAUUUAACUCAUUGAAUUUGUUGCAGACCGCCGAGGAAUUCAAAGCAAAACACCUUGGAUACAAGCCCGCUCGUCGAUCCGCUCCUCUUGUUCACAACGCAAACUACACCGUAAAAGCUCCAGCCUCAGUUGUUUGAACCAAGGGAAUCGUUAGUGAAAUCAAAGAUCAUCAGCAAUGUGGUUCAUGCUGGGCUUUCUCUGCCAUUGCUUUUAUCGAAUCAGCCAACGCUC